CCUACGGGUGGCCGCAGUGAGGAAUAUUGGUCAAUGGGCGCGAGCCUGAACCAGCCAAGUAGCGUGAAGGAUGACUGCCCUACGGGUUGUAAACUUCUUUUAUAAAGGAAUCACUUGAGGCACGUGUGCCUUUUUGUAUGUACUUUCUGAAUCAGGAUCGGCUAACUCCGUGCCAGCAGCCGCGGUAAUCCGGAGGAUCCGAGCGUUAUCCGGAUUUAUUGGGUUUAAAGGGAGCGUAGAUGGGUUGUUAAGUCAGUUGUGAAAGUUUGCGGCUCAACAGUAAAAUUGCAAUUGAUACUGGGAGUCUUGAGUACAGUUGAGGUAGGCGGAAUUCGUGGUGUAGCGGUGAAAGGCUUAGAUAUCACGAAGAACUCCGAUUGCGAAGGCAGCUUACUAAACUGCCACUGACAUUGAUGCUCGAAAGUGUGGGUAUCAAACAGGAUUAGAUACCCUUGUAGUC
This 460-nucleotide ribosomal RNA is filed under the name uncultured bacterium. RNAcentral describes it as "partial 16S ribosomal RNA". It matches the Rfam family "Bacterial small subunit ribosomal RNA", at positions 338 to 795 of the family's 1533-position model. The record is from RNAcentral.